Molecule: ribosomal RNA, 463 nt
Filed under: uncultured bacterium
Lineage: Bacteria
Description: bacterial SSU rRNA
Rfam family: Bacterial small subunit ribosomal RNA
Source: RNAcentral
ACUCCUACGGGAGGCAGCAGUGAGGAAUAUUGGUCAAUGGGCGGAAGCCUGAACCAGCCAUGCCGCGUGCAGGACGACGGCCCUACGGGUUGUAAACUGCUUUUGCGCGGGAAGAAUAACCCCCUCGUGAGGGGGGAUGCCGGUACCGCGCGAAUAAGGAUCGGCUAACUCCGUGCCAGCAGCCGCGGUAAUACGGAGGAUCCGAGCGUUAUCCGGAUUUACUGGGUUUAAAGGGUGCGUAGGCGGGCGCCUAAGUCAGCGGUGAAAUGCAGCGGCUCAACCGUUGAACUGCCGUUGAAACUGGGCGCCUUGGAUCCGGUCGAGGUUGGCGGAAUGCGUGGUGUAGCGGUGAAAUGCUUAGAUAUCACGCGGAACGCCGAUUGCGAAGGCAGCUGACCAGGCCUGGAUCGACGCUGAGGCACGAAAGCGUGGGGAUCAAACAGGAUUAGAUACCCUGGUAGUC